GGCCUGGUGGUCUAGUAGUAUGAUUCCUUGUUAGGGUUGUCGCUGAUUUCGAGGAGGUCCCGGGUUCAAUUCCCGGCCAGGCCC
Non-coding RNA from Rhizopogon vinicolor AM-OR11-026, 84 nucleotides. Lineage: Eukaryota; Fungi; Basidiomycota; Agaricomycetes; Boletales; Rhizopogonaceae. The record is from the annotation of a GenBank genome assembly.